CCUACGGGAGGCAGCAGUGGGGAAUAUUGGACAAUGGGCGCAAGCCUGAUCCAGCAAUGCCGCGUGGGUGAAGAAGGUCUUCGGAUUGUAAAGCCCUUUCGACGGGGAGGCGGUACCCGUAGAAGAAGCCCCGGCUAACUUCGUGCCAGCAGCCGCGGUAAUACGAAGGGGGCUAGCGUUGCUCGGAAUUACUGGGCGUAAAGGGCGCGUAGGCGGCACUGUUAGUCAGGCGUGAAAGUCCUGGGCUCAACCUGGGAACUGCGCUUGAUACGGCAGAGCUAGAGGAUGGAAGAGGCUCGCGGAAUUCCCAGUGUAGAGGUGAAAUUCGUAGAUAUUGGGAAGAACACCGGUGGCGAAGGCGGCGAGCUGGUCCAUACUGACGCUGAGGCGCGACAGCGUGGGGAGCAAACAGGAUUAGAUACCCUUGUAGUC
RNAcentral lists this ribosomal RNA (432 nucleotides) under uncultured bacterium. Its description in RNAcentral is "partial 16S ribosomal RNA". It matches the Rfam family "Bacterial small subunit ribosomal RNA", at positions 338 to 795 of the family's 1533-position model. The record is from RNAcentral.